GUGGGGAAUAUUGGUCAAUGGACGGAAGUCUGAACCAGCCAUGCCGCGUGCAGGAUUAAGGCCCUAUGGGUCGUAAACUGCUUUUGUGGUGGAGCAAUAAGACGUACGUGUACGUCGAUGAGAGUACAUCACGAAUAAGCAUCGGCUAACUCCGUGCCAGCAGCCGCGGUAAUACGGAGGAUGCAAGCGUUAUCCGGAUUUAUUGGGUUUAAAGGGUGCGUAGGCUGUUCGUCAAGUCAGAGGUGAAAUACCUGAGCCUAACUCAGGAACUGCCUUUGAUACUGGCGAGCUGGAAUACGGAUGCCGUGGGAGGAAUGAGUAGUGUAGCGGUGAAAUGCAUAGAUAUUACUCAGAACACCGAUUGCGAAGGCAUCUCACGAAUCCGUCAUUGACGCUGAGGCACGAAAGCGUGGGGAUCAAACAGG
RNAcentral lists this ribosomal RNA (425 nucleotides) under uncultured rumen bacterium. Its description in RNAcentral is "bacterial SSU rRNA". It matches the Rfam family "Bacterial small subunit ribosomal RNA", at positions 354 to 776 of the family's 1533-position model. The record is from RNAcentral.